AUACGGAGGGGGUUAGCGUUGUUCGGAAUUACUGGGCGUAAAGCGCACGUAGGCGGACUGGAAAGUUGGGGGUGAAAUCCUGGGGCUCAACCCCGGAACUGCCUCCAAAACUUCCAAUCUAGAGAUCGAGAGAGGUGAGUGGAAUUCCAAGUGUAGAGGUGAAAUUCGUAGAUAUUUGGAGGAACACCAGUGGCGAAGGCGGCUCACUGGCUCGAUACUGACGCUGAGGUGCGAAAGCGUGGGGAGCAAACAGGAUUAGAAACCCUAGUAGUCC
This 274-nucleotide ribosomal RNA is filed under the name uncultured bacterium. RNAcentral's name for it is "partial 16S ribosomal RNA". It matches the Rfam family "Bacterial small subunit ribosomal RNA", at positions 523 to 796 of the family's 1533-position model. The record is from RNAcentral.